Non-coding RNA from Peromyscus maniculatus bairdii (prairie deer mouse), 1144 nucleotides. The record is from RefSeq and is a predicted model, not a curated record. Lineage: Eukaryota; Metazoa; Chordata; Mammalia; Rodentia; Cricetidae.
CACCUUGCAAGAAGCUCAAAAAAUACAGAGAAACUUUCACCGGAGAGUCUUUGAACUUCUCUCGUCUGGACUAACCUCCCUGUCAUUUGCCAAGCACACGGAAGUGCUUAUCCCUCUCAGGUAUGGCUGCAGAUACCCUCUUACAACCACCCCUUGAGGCAGGAACACUGGAGCUAAUCUGCUCACAGUGAUGGCGGGCAGCCAGAAUCAAAUCUACCCUUCCAUUGUGUCCACAUCAAGAUUCUCUCACCCAAAGAGAACAUCCAGCUCCCACCUUCCUGUGAAGCUCUGUGGAAGAAGCCCUACACUCUCACUUCCACUCUACCAAGGAUUUACUCCACAGACUUCAGAGCCAAGAAUACCUAAUUUGAGACACAUUUCACUUCUUUGAAAUCGCUUUGUGUGUUAUUGUCAGCUCCAAACUACAAAGCAGAAAGGGUGAGCCAAGAAAUUCUAUGACUUCACAGAAAGGUUACAUCAAGUUUCUCUCCCAUGGCUUUCAAAUCCACGCUAGUCUUCUAAAUAUGAAGAAUGAAGAGUUCAACGUGACUUGUACCCGCAUAUAAACAUGCCUCUCUACACAGACUAGGGUCAGGCUGAUGGAAGCAGUGGUCCGUGUCUGUAACCCUCGUAUUUGGGGAACUGACGAGGAGUAGUACUACAGGGAGUUCAAGGCCAGCCCGCGUCACAGGGAGACCCUGUCUCAGAAAGCAACAGCAAACCAAACCAAACAGGAAACUCUCCAUCCCAGCUCUAGUCGCCAACUGGAAUGUCGCUCGGUGGAGGAGCAUUUGCUCAGUAUGCGCCAGGUCCUGAACAUCUGUGGUGCAGUUCCAAACAAGACAGACAACCCUGCUAUCAAAAACUACUGCUCACUGAAGAACAAAACAGGAACGAGAGUCUCUUCUGAAAGGAACUGCCAUCUCCUGUCUGCCGUCUACACUGGAAGGUGGCUCACCAUUGAACCCUCUGCUGCAGGACUUGGGAGGUCAUUUGGACCAACAGGCCCUCCCUGAACUUCACCCAGUGAGUUUCUCAUGCACACUAAACACCUUUUUUUUUUUCAAGCUGAAAGAAGGGUUUUAAUGUUUCUACCACAAUAAAAUAACAAAUGUUCAAAUAAUAAAAUAAAAUAACCAAGUUA